This 358-nucleotide transfer-messenger RNA is filed under the name Clostridia bacterium. It matches the Rfam family "transfer-messenger RNA". Rfam says of the family: Bacterial tmRNA, also known as 10Sa RNA or SsrA, is named for its dual tRNA and mRNA-like properties. Its role is to liberate the mRNA from a stalled ribosome. To accomplish this part of the tmRNA is used as a reading frame that ends in a translation stop signal. Lineage: Bacteria; Bacillati; Bacillota; Clostridia. The record is from RNAcentral.
GGGGGUGUAAUGGUUUCGACAGUAUUUUUAGAUUAUAGAUAGCGAGUAGUGGAUGGUCGCUUAAAGCCACUAUAAAAAAGCGAAAAAUAAAUAUAAACGCUGAUAAUAGAGAAUUAGCAUUAGCUGCCUAAGUGCGGCUACGUUUUACCUUGAAUGCCUACGUUUAAGGAUAAGGCGUCGAAACAGUAGGACAACAAAGCUAUUUCUUGCCAUAGAAAUAGUGGGUAUUUAAAUGGCUACUCUGUUUUGGGAUUGUUUGUUAUCCUUAAAACAGGGGAAUAUUAAUAACAAACUACACUCGUAGAGGUCUAUAUGAAGAGGGUAUUGGACAGGAGUUCGACUCUCCUCACCUCCACCA